GAUGAACGCUGGCGGCGUGCUUAACACAUGCAAGUCGAACGGACAGGCCCUGCUCUUGCGGGGUGGUCGAGUGGCGAACGGGUGUGUAACACGCGAGUAACCUGCCCCUGACUUUGGGGUAAAUCCAGGAAACUGGGGAUCAUACCGGAUAGGAGCUCCUGAAGCACGGUGGGGGUUGGAAAGAUACGGCGGUUGGGGAUGGACUCGCAGCUUAUCCGCUGGUUGGUGGGGUAGUGGCUUACCAAGGCUAUGACGGGUAGCCGGCCUGAGAGGUUGACCGGCGACAAUGGGACUGAGGUACGGACCAGACUGCUACGUGAGGCAGCAGUCGAGAAUAUUGCACAGUGGCCGGGAGCCUGUUGCAGCAAUGUCGCGUGCGUGAUGACGUGCUUCUAGGUAUAAACCACUUUCGCCGGUAACGUAGCGUGAGUGACGGUAAUUGGUAAAGAAGCACCGGCUAACUACGUG
Molecule: ribosomal RNA, 468 nt
Filed under: uncultured bacterium
Lineage: Bacteria
Description: partial 16S ribosomal RNA
Rfam family: Bacterial small subunit ribosomal RNA
Source: RNAcentral